AACCUUAUGGACCUGCGGGCGUAUACCUGCGGAAGGAUCAUCAUUGACAUGUAUCUCUACAGACCCUGUGCACUGUAUGGGACGAGUGGGGUUGGCGGGGCUAAGGGAGCGGCGGCCGGCUUGCGCUGGCUGGCCCUUGUGUGCGCGGCACGUGUGUCCGCACGCCCGCCGCCUGCUCGCAUUUUACACAAAUUCUUUCAAUCGCAGACUGAAAAUUACACUUUUAAUAACAAACACAAC
RNAcentral lists this unclassified non-coding RNA (240 nucleotides) under soil metagenome. RNAcentral's name for it is "partial contains 5.8S ribosomal RNA, internal transcribed spacer 2, and large subunit ribosomal RNA". The record is from RNAcentral.